This 3042-nucleotide ribosomal RNA is filed under the name Triticum aestivum (bread wheat). RNAcentral describes it as "partial small subunit ribosomal RNA". Lineage: Eukaryota; Viridiplantae; Streptophyta; Magnoliopsida; Poales; Poaceae. The record is from RNAcentral.
AUGGGGGCGCGGAGGAUGCCAUGCGGCUGGAGACUGCUCUUCUUCCUCGGGUUGCUUGCCGAGGUCCAUGGCUCUUCGUCUCCGGGGGUUAAGGCAGUAGCUGAUGCUCUCCCUCCUACCUCUAGGCUCUUCCCUGCUGAAGUGCGCACUCUUCGCCGGAUCGCGGCAAAUAUGGGGAUAUCACAUUGGAACUUCUCCGCCAAUCCAUGUGGCUCCGGCGGCGGCUUGGAGUGUGACUGCUCCUUCAACAACAAUACCAUGUGCCAUGCCACUGAGAUAUUCCUCAGGGGCCAGAACUUCACCGGCCAGCUCCCACCAGAUUUUGCUGAUCUCCCUAAUCUCCUCCAGCUAGACCUAAGCAGGAGCUUGUUCCAUGGCACGGUGCCUGACCGGUGGGCCCGGAUGAAGUUGCAAGGACUGUCACUAAUGGGAAACAGAUUGUCAGGGCCUUUUCCCAUGGCUCUUACGAGAAUCACAACCUUGACUAACCUGAGCAUUGAAGCAAAUGAGUUCCGUGGGCAAAUCCCAGUUGAAAUUGGGCAUCUCAUGCAACUGGAGAAGCUGAUAAUAUCAACCAACGAGUUCACUGGACCCCUGCCGGCUGCUCUUUCCUUGCUGACCAAUUUGACCGACUUAAGGAUUUCUGGAAACAAUUUAUCUGGAAGAGUUCCUGAUUUCUUGGCUAAACUGACAAAGCUUGGAAAACUGCAAAUCGAAGGAUCUUUGCUGGAAGGGCCUAUUCCCCUGGGCUUAUCCAAAUUGACAAACCUUUCUGAUCUGAGAAUUAGUGAUCUGAGAGGCAGUGGAUCAGUUUUCCCGGAUCUAAGAGGAAUGCAAUCGAUGAAAGCAUUGGUCCUUAGGAAUUGUUCAAUCAGCGGGGGAAUCCCUUCUUACAUAUGGAGCAUGGAAAAUCUCACGCAUCUGGAUCUGAGCUUUAAUGAACUGACAGGAAAAGUAACAGAUUCGUUCACUAAUAGGGGAACCGUAGAUUACAUAUAUCUAACUGGAAAUUCACUCACUGGGAACAUACCUGAUUGGCUAUUGCGAAGCAACAGCAUUGUGGACCUCUCUUUUAAUAAUUUCACAAUUGGGAGCUCAGGUCGUCCUACUCAAUGUCAAGGGAGCGCCAAUCUAGUGGAGAGUUAUUCACCUGAAAUGAACAGCUUAAAUAAUGUCCAGCCAUGCUUGAAGAAGAACUUCCCAUGUGCUUCGAAUGGACAAUACAGAUCAUCCUUGCAUAUCAAUUGUGGAGACAAAGAAGCAAUUGUCAAUGGCGUAAAAUAUGAAGGUGACACCACACCAAAAGGUGCUUCCAUGUUGUAUGUAAGCCCAGAUAACUGGGCAUUCAGCAGCACUGGGAACUUCAUGGACGACAACAUCAAUGAUGACAACUACAUUGUGUCAAGCACAUCAAAACUGACCAUGCCCAACUCCAAGUUGUAUGCAAGAGCACGCCUUUCUCCUCUUUCGCUCACAUAUUAUGGGCUUUGUAUGCAUAAUGGGAGCUACACAGUUAAACUCCAUUUUGCCGAAAUUAUAUUUACCAAUGACAGCACAUACUACAGCCUUGGCAAAAGAAAAUUCAAUGUGUUCAUACAGGGAAGAAUGGUGCUAGAGGAUUUUGAUAUUGAGAAAUCUGCUGGUGGGGCUGGAAAGCUAGUCAUCAAGACUUUCAUAACGUAUGUCACAAAUCAUACACUGGAAAUUCAAUUCUAUUGGGCAGGAAGAGGGACAACAGGCAUUCCAAAAAGAGGAUUCUACGGCCCUCUAAUAUCUGCAAUAUCAGUAACUCCAAACUUCCAAAUUCCUUUGGCUGUUGAACCUCCCCGUAGUGGCAGUGGCACAAAUACUUCCAGGACAUCUAAAGCUUUGCUGAUUGGAGCCCCAAUUAUUGCGAUAUUCACUGCUCUUGUUGUUGGCAUCUACUGGAUUAAGCGACGACGGAAGAACUUGGUGAAUCAAGAUCUCCGGGCACUUGACCUCCAAAUUGGCUCAUUUACCUUGAGACAAAUCAAAGCAGCAACUAGGAACUUUGAUCCAGCCAACAAGAUUGGCGAAGGUGGUUUUGGUUCAGUUUACAAGGGUUCGUUGUCCGAUGGCACCAUUAUUGCUGUCAAACAGCUAUCAUCAAAGUCCAAGCAAGGGAAUCGUGAAUUUGUGAAUGAGAUAGGCAUGAUAUCUGCACUCCAGCAUCCAAACCUUGUCAGGCUGUAUGGCUGUUGUACAGAGGGAAACCAGCUCUUGCUAGUUUACGAGUACAUGGAAAAUAAUUGCCUUGCGCGUGCUCUCUUUGUUGAAGAAUAUAGACUGGCAUUGGAUUGGCCAACAAGACGUAAGAUUUGCCUGGGAAUAGCAAGGGGUCUGGCAUAUCUGCAUGAGGAGUCUGCAAUAAGGAUUGUGCACCGAGAUAUCAAGGCUAGCAAUAUACUGCUUGACAAAGAUUUGGAUGCUAAGAUCUCAGAUUUUGGUCUAGCAAAGCUUAAUGAAGAUGGUCACACCCACAUAAGCACAAAAGUAGCUGGAACUAUUGGAUACAUGGCUCCUGAGUAUGCAAUGCGUGGUUAUUUGACAGACAAAGCUGAUGUUUACAGUUUUGGGGUUGUUGCUUUGGAAAUUGUGAGUGGAAAAAGCAACACAAACUACAGGCCAAAAGAAGAUUUUGUUUAUCUUCUCGAUUGGGCUUGUGUUUUACAUGAGAGAGGAACUCUCCUGGAGCUGGUAGAUCCAGACUUAGGAUCCAAUUACUCAACAGAAGAGGCACUCCUCAUGCUGAAUGUGGCUCUCUUAUGCACCAACGCAGCACCUACACUUAGACCAAAGAUGUCCAAUGCUGUGAGCCUGCUCGAGGGCCAUACCCCCCUGCAACCCUUCCUAUCAGAACUCAGCCUUGCUGCAAACAGCCUGAGCUCAAGUGGUCUACGCAGAAAUUUCUGGGAAAAUCCAAAUGAGAGCCAGAGCAUAACGGCACAAGCAUCAUGUAACAACACCAGUGACUCGUCAUCUUUAGAUGUUGAUGGUAGCUUGAGACAUUUUGCGACUUAA